RNAcentral lists this long non-coding RNA (503 nucleotides) under Homo sapiens (human). RNAcentral describes it as "HSALNT0111235". Lineage: Eukaryota; Metazoa; Chordata; Mammalia; Primates; Hominidae. The record is from RNAcentral.
UUGCAUUCUAGAGAGGCUGAACAUUCUUUGUCCCUCUGCUCAUUAGCUAAUUCAUUUCUAGUUUUACAUUACUAAUUUUCUUCUUUUAGAAGUGAAUGAAUGGUGCCUCUUACAUUGAAUGGAGUCAGAUGAAGCCUGAUACUUGUAUUUAUUUUCAUAUGCUAACAUGGUUUGAUUUCAAAUCUCACCAACAAUGGUUAAGCUUUGCCGACUGGGAGAUGCAGUGCUGAGUAUUAGGGGAAAUACACUGAGAGCUGGAGGGUGCUCACAGGAAGCAUACAAGUCCUGGAGGAAAACAGCAGGCCGGGCACAGCAGCUGAACCAUGAGGCUGUGCACACUCAGAGCAAUUCUGCAAGAGAGCUUCAGCAAAAUUCCAAAACAAUCGCAUCGAGAGUCGGCACAACGCAGGUCUCCCGACUUUGACUGGUUCCAGACGAAGUUUCUUUUGUCGUUUGCUAGCCUCCAGGGAUGCAAUCUCUACACUCUCUGUGGGAUGGAGGGG